This is a long non-coding RNA of Ictalurus punctatus (channel catfish), 498 nucleotides long. NCBI's taxonomy places the organism in Eukaryota, Metazoa, Chordata, Actinopteri, Siluriformes, Ictaluridae. The record is from Ensembl.
CUUAUAACUGGCUUUCUUCAUGGUUCUCUAAAAAUUAAGGCUUUCCUUGCGAGACGAGAAUCUUCACCAUCUGAAUCAUGAGAGGCUGGCGAACACUUUGGGAAUAUUCUGCCAAGGUGAAUCAACAAGCGAGCGGAGCUUUGAGAGUUCGGAGGCACAUCACAGGUCGCUCCGACCUAAUUCAACGUGCUGACGUGCUGCACCGGGAUUGGAGAGGAGAAGAUUGUGCGUUGUUUAAAAAGGCGAAAGACCGAUGUGGCGAAAGGAAUGUGGAUGUGUGGUUUAUCUGUGAUUGUGUGCAUACUAUUGAGUAGCGAAUAUUUUUCCCGGUGUUUGAGUGAGAUUGCUUGCUUGUUGUAUUGUGUGUGAGUGAAAGAAGUGAGUGGUAUAAUCUCGUGUUGUCCCAUUCUACCGUUUUGUUUUGUGUUUUGGCUGAGUGUACGCGUCUAUUGUAAAUAUCUUUCAUUGUAAAUAUUUCUUUUCUACUAAUCACGACAG